UCCGUGUUAACCACGGCAGUCUCCUUAGAGAGCCCAACUGAAUGCUGGCAACUAAGGACAAGGGUUGCGCUCGUUGCGGGACUUAACCCAACAUGUCACCACACGAGCUGACGACAGCCAUGCAGCACCUGUCUCUGUGUUGUAUUGCUACAAAAGCCCUAUCUCUAGGGUUGUCACAGGAUGUCAAAUCCAGGUAAGGUUCUUCGCGUUGCUUCGAAUUAAACCACAUGAUCCACCGCUUGUGCGGGCCCCCGUCAAUUCCUUUGAGUUUUAGUCUUGCGACCGUACUUCCCAGGCGGGGUACUUAUUGCGUUAGCGCCGGUUCGACGGGGGUCAAGACCCAUCAAACCUAGUACCCAUCGUUUACAGCGUGGACUAC
RNAcentral lists this unclassified non-coding RNA (379 nucleotides) under uncultured Oligoflexales bacterium. RNAcentral's name for it is "contains 16S-23S intergenic spacer region". The record is from RNAcentral. Lineage: Bacteria; Pseudomonadati; Bdellovibrionota; Oligoflexia; Oligoflexales.